AGUGGCGGACGGGUGAGUAACGCGUGAGAAUCUGCCUUGGGGUCGGGGACAACCACUGGAAACGGUGGCUAAUACCGGAUACGCCUUCGGGUAAAAGAUUUAUUGCCCUAAGAGGAGCUCGCGUCUGAUUAGCUAGUUGGUGAGGUAAGAGCUCACCAAGGCAGCGAUCAGUAGCUGGUCUGAGAGGACGAUCAGCCACACUGGGACUGAGACACGGCCCAGACUCCUACGGGAGGCAGCAGUGGGGAAUUUUCCGCAAUGGGCGAAAGCCUGACGGAGCAAGACCGCGUGAGGGAGGAAGGCUCUUGGGUUGUAAACCUCUUUUCUCAGGGAAGAAGCUCUGAGGGUACCUGAGGAAUCAGCCUCGGCUAACUCCGUGCCAGCAGCCGCGGUAAUACGGAGGAGGCAAGCGUUAUCCGGAAUUAUUGGGCGUAAAGCGUCCGCAGGUGGCGAUUCAAGUCUGCUGUCAAAGCACGGGGCUUAACUCCGUAAAGGCAGUGGAAACUGAAUAGCUAGAGUGCCGUAGGGGUAGAGGGAAUUCCCGGUGUAGCGGUGAAAUGCGUAGAGAUCGGGAAGAACAUCGGUGGCGAAAGCGCUCUACUGGACGGCAACUGACACUCAGGGACGAAAAGCUAGGGGAGCGAAUGGGAUUAGAUACCCC
RNAcentral lists this ribosomal RNA (661 nucleotides) under uncultured bacterium. RNAcentral describes it as "bacterial SSU rRNA". It matches the Rfam family "Bacterial small subunit ribosomal RNA", at positions 94 to 788 of the family's 1533-position model. The record is from RNAcentral.